GCCCUGGGCCGGGGUGCUGCGGGAAUGCUCUGUCCCACUGGUCCCCUGCACUGAGGAUGUUCCGUUGUGGGUGUGGGAACUGCUGAAAUAGGAGUGUUUGAACCUGGUCACGAGGCUGUGCCUGUAUGGAAACAUCGCAAGUUUUUGUCAACAAGUUUCUAUUCUGACAUUUUCCAAAUAUCCCCUGGGAGAAGUCCAAGCAGCCUGCGGCUCUGGGGAUGCCAACACCUUGGCACUUCGCCUGGGCGCCGAGGGAGUGGAGGUGCCUGGUCGUCCUGUCACGUUCGACUCGGAGGUGUUUUUCUUGCCCUGGGUUAAUUAAAAAUCCCGGUCCAGACUUCAGAGACUGAAGGUCUACAGGGGCAAGCAACAAAGCACAUGCAGAUUUCCAGGCUGAGUAUGCGUUGCUGGGGCCGUGGCUGCAAAGAGAAGCAACUGUGUGGGCAGCUGAUGAGGAGUCUGUCCAGCUGCCAUCACGUCUUGCUGGUGCACAAAGGCUCUGGUGUGACAACCCUGUGCUUCUAGAGAUCGCUGACUUUUGGAGACAUGGCUGCCCAGACCGUGCUAUAUCCUUCCUACAGCCUGUGGGUUCAUGUGAGGCUGCCUGCCAAAAGCUCUGCCUGUGCUACCCCAAAGCUCUCUAAUUCCAGCUUGAUUUUAGCAAUUCCUUGGUUUCUCCAAUCUCUCCUUUGGAUAUGUGCCUGACCGGAAUGACAGCAGCUGGAGACAUCUCCAGGGUUUUGUCUAGAAAAGUGAGACGAGGAGGCUUUAUCACAUGCUCAGCUGAAUUGCCGUAAAUGGGAUAACAGCUGGAAAGUCGAGUUAAUUUGUACCAAUGGUCAUUUAAAGUGUUUGCCAAAGCUUAUGGAUAAGAAAAGCAUCUGUGCAAACUGUU
This is a long non-coding RNA of Cyanistes caeruleus (blue tit), 895 nucleotides long. RefSeq lists it as uncharacterized. The record is from RefSeq and is a predicted model, not a curated record. NCBI's taxonomy places the organism in Eukaryota, Metazoa, Chordata, Aves, Passeriformes, Paridae.